UUCGCCCUUAGAGUUUGAUCCUGGCUCAGGACGAACGCUGGCGGCGCGCCUAACACAUGCAAGUCGAACGAGCGAGAGAGAGCUUGCUUUCUCGAGCGAGUGGCGAACGGGUGAGUAACGCGUGAGGAACCUGCCUCAAAGAGGGGGACAACAGUUGGAAACGACUGCUAAUACCGCAUAAGCCCACGGCUCGGCAUCGAGCAGAGGGAAAAGGAGCAAUCCGCUUUGAGAUGGCCUCGCGUCCGAUUAGCUAGUUGGUGAGGUAACGGCCCACCAAGGCAACGAUCGGUAGCCGGACUGAGAGGUUGAACGGCCACAUUGGGACUGAGACACGGCCCAGACUCCUACGGGAGGCAGCAGUGGGGAAUAUUGCACAAUGGGGGAAACCCUGAUGCAGCGACGCCGCGUGGAGGAAGAAGGUCUUCGGAUUGUAAACUCCUGUUGUUGAGGAAGAUAAUGACGGUACUCAACAAGGAAGUGACGGCUAACUACGUGCCAGCAGCCGCGGUAAAACGUAGGUCACAAGCGUUGUCCGGAAUUACUGGGUGUAAAGGGAGCGCAGGCGGGAAGACAAGUUGGAAGUGAAAUCCAUGGGCUCAACCCAUGAACUGCUUUCAAAACUGUUUUUCUUGAGUAGUGCAGAGGUAGGCGGAAUUCCCGGUGUAGCGGUGGAAUGCGUAGAUAUCGGGAGGAACACCAGUGGCGAAGGCGGCCUACUGGGCACCAACUGACGCUGAGGCUCGAAAGUGUGGGUAGCAAACAGAAAGAGAUACCCUGGUAGUCCACUCUGUAAUCGAUGAUUGCUAGGGUGUUGGAGGAUGUACCCUUUCUAGUGCGCGCAAGUUGACACAAUAGUAAAUCCACCUGGGGAGUACGCCCGCAAGGUUGAAACUCAAAGGAAUUGACGGGGGCCCGCACAAGCAGUGGAGUAUGUGGUUUAAUUCGAACGCAACGCGAAGAACCUUACCAAGUCUUGACAUCCUGCGACGGUGCUGGAAACAGUACUUUCCUUCGGGACGCAGAGACAGGUGGUGCAUGGUUGUCGUCAGCUCGUGUCGUGAGAUGUUGGGUUAAGUCCCGCAACGAGCGCAACCCUUAUGGUCAGUUACUACGCAAGAGGACUCUGGCCAGACUGCCGUUGACAAAACGGAGGAAGGUGGGGAUGACGUCAAAUCAUCAUGCCCUUUAUGACUUGGGCUACACACGUACUACAAUGGCGUUAAACAAAGAGAAGCAAGACCGCGAGGUGGAGCAAAACUCAGAAACAACGUCCCAGUUCGGACUGCAGGCUGCAACUCGCCUGCACGAAGUCGGAAUUGCUAGUAAUCGCAGAUCAGCAUGCUGCGGUGAAUACGUUACGGGGCCUUGCACUCACCGCCCGUCA
This 1384-nucleotide ribosomal RNA is filed under the name uncultured bacterium. RNAcentral's name for it is "16S ribosomal RNA". It matches the Rfam family "Bacterial small subunit ribosomal RNA". The record is from RNAcentral.